UCCGCUUUAAAAGCGGAGCUGUGUGUAGCUGGAGAGAGUCGCUGUAGCGAUGCCGAGCCCCGGAUCUGCCUUCAGUAACCGCCGGCCUGAUCUCUGCUGCACAGUGCGCAGUGUAGGCGCCGUCAUCACAGUGGACUAGUUCACCUGCGGAGUAUACAAACAUACGACCGACGGUUUGGAUUUGAACUCUCAUUGUUUCCUACAGGCUAUGUGACAGCCGGUAGACGGAACUUUACGCAGGGAAACAGCAGGUGAGUCUACGAGGCUACACCUGACGGAUAAUUCACCUCGCUGAAUUUGAAACCAGUUUGUAUUCUCCUCCCAACUCCACUUGUUGAUGGGGGGCUAACUAACGGGCUAUCCCAGCAGUCACACCGCGGUGAUAUAGCCUACUUAUGCGUAAAUUUUAUAAAACCCUGUCCGACGGCAGGGCCAAGGAAGUUUUAAAUGGUUAUGUUUUGUGGCAGAUGGUGGUGAUGUUUGGCGACCGGUAACAGCUCGCGACAUCAGAUCGUAUUACACAGGCUGCCACCGGGGUGAGGUGCGGCAUGGGGAACCAGAUGGAAAAGCUGUCACAUCUAAGUUACGCAGAAGUUCCCACAGUGGACCCGAACGGCGUGGACACGGAGGAAGGUCCGCGGAUCGGCGUCUCCUACAUAUUUUCUAACGACGACGACGAGCUGGAGGAAGGUUGCGCGGUCGAUGCCACCAAUAAGGACCCGAAUCAGGAAGAGAAACCAUACGACCAGCGCGACGAGGUGGAGUGCGCCGUCUACAACAGAGAUGAAUGCAUUUACGAGAAGAGCGUCAAGUCUGCCAACCUGGAGGUUUACUCCCCGGAGAAUCUACUAAACAAAUGUAAAGCAGGGGACCUCGUGGAGUUUGUUGCUACCGGUCAGUUCCCACACUGGGCUGUGUACGUGGGGGACUUCCAAGUGGUGCACCUGCACAGAGCCGAGGUGAAAAACAGCUUUUUGACAGAUGCAAGUCAAGGGAGGAGGUGUAGGGUUGUGAACGACUUGUACAAAUUCAGAUCUCUGGGUCCGGACAUGGUGGUGCAGAACGCGAUGGAACAAGUGGGCUUAAAAGACCGAGAGCUGAGCUGGAGGAACUCCGAGUGCUUUGCCGCCUGGUGCAGGUUUGGCAAGAGGGAGUUCAAGAUGGGUGGGGAGAUACGGAUAGGCAAGCAGCCCUACAGGUUGAAAAUAUUCAUGUCCGAGAAACAUUCGCACAUGUUAGAGUUUCAGAGUUUGGAGGACAUGAUCAUGGAGAAGAGGAGGAACGAUCACCUGGGCAGGACAGCUGUGUUGCAGGAGCUGGCCACUCACUUCAGCAGCGCGGGGGAGAUCAAAAGUGAGCCAGGCGCUGACUGAUGGCUGCCCUUAUACUGCUCUUCGAAAAAAAAUUGAUUUGCAAGUAGAGUAGCCUUUAUCGAACAUUAACUGUUACACCCUGCUUUAAUCUAUAGCAAGCCUUCACUCCUUCCGUUUUAUUUUUAAUUGGGGCACAUAUAUCACUAUUUCUAUUCGAAUAUUGUCAUUUUAAUUGUUUUCACGCGAGUCUAUAGGCUAUUACUGUAAUUGCCUUGAAGCCACAAUCACCAUCCUCAGAUGCUUAAUGGCCUUAGCAAUUAUGAAUUAAAUUUUGGGGGAAAAUUUUAAUUUGAUUGAAUUAGUUGAUAGGCCUGUUUGUAGGUACGAUAGCCCCUCCACAAAGAAUGUAUAGCCUAGUUUUAUAAAAGCUUUACACAUUUGUCUCAAACUGUCAUGAUUCUGAGUGACUGUUGUUCUAUUCAUGGUGUGUCCUGUUAUUUGAUCCUUGUGUGGUUUAACUUCAUCCCUCCGCUCACCCAGACGGAGCUGCUCGCUGAAUACAAGACGGAUUAUUUCUGCCUUUAAGGGUGAUUCUCGCACCAGCACAUGUUGGAGAAAAUGUUGUAGCGCUUGUGUUACACUGAUCAAAGUCUGUCUUACCCAAAGUUUGAGUAAAUCAUGACUCAUUGUCUCUUUUGACCCUUCUGUCAUAUUGUUUUACUUGCAUGCACAAUAAUAAGAAUUUCAUCAA
RNA transcript from Sander lucioperca (pikeperch), 2064 nucleotides. It is a transcript of the gene named LRAT domain containing 2a, with no coding region annotated. The transcript has 2 exons. The record is from RefSeq and is a predicted model, not a curated record. NCBI's taxonomy places the organism in Eukaryota, Metazoa, Chordata, Actinopteri, Perciformes, Percidae.